RNAcentral lists this ribosomal RNA (305 nucleotides) under uncultured bacterium. RNAcentral's name for it is "bacterial SSU rRNA". It matches the Rfam family "Bacterial small subunit ribosomal RNA", at positions 333 to 640 of the family's 1533-position model. The record is from RNAcentral.
AGGCGCCUACGGGGGGCAGCAGUGGGGAAUAUUGCACAGUGGGGGAAACCCUGAUGCAGCGACGCCGCGUGAGUGAAGAAGUAUCUCGGUACGUAAAGCUCUAUCAGCAGGGAAGAAAAAAAGUCUUUGGCUUUGGACGGUACCUGACUAAGAAGCCCCGGCUAACUACGUGCCAGCAGCCGCGGUAAUACGUAUGGAGCAAGCGUUAUCCGGAUUUACUGGGCGUAAAGGGAGCGUAGGCGGCCUGCCAAGUCUGAUGUGAAAUACCGGGGCUCAACCCCGGGGCUGCAUUGGAAACUGGCAGG